UCUCCACCCUCCAGCAGUCUCUCUCUCUCUCUCUCUCUCUCUCUCUUUCAUUAGGUAACUUCCUCCUCUGCAGUCAGUCCUUCAGAGUCUCAGAGCUUCACCUUCAUUCCAGCAAACAUGAGCAAAUGCUUCAAGUCCGUGAAGUACGCCCUGCUCGUCUUCAACAUGCUGGUUGCUAUCGUUGGAGUUGAGAUGCUGAUCUUCACUGUUCGAGCGACAAAUGGCACCUCGGAGUUGGACAAGUCCUUGUUGAGUCCAGGUCAUCUGAUCCAGUACUGGCUCACCACCAUCGCCAUCUUCGGCCUCGCCGCUCUGGGCACGUACGGCAGCGACAGCGAGAAGAGGACCCCGCUCAUCGUGUUCUGUGUCCUGAUGUGGAUUGUCUCGGUCAUCAUGGUGUUCUACAGCAUCACCACCGCCGUGAUCAUCUUCAGGUUCACAUCUGUAAUUUGGCCCGGCGAAGAGCAGGGGGUGAUGAAGCCCUUCAACAUUGCGUUGGGACUCUUCAUUGGAGCCGGUGUCCUCUCGUUUGUGGGCGGGCUCCUGUCCAAGCUCCUGGUGGAUCAGAUCAAACAGCGCGGCGAAGCUCAGAGUUCGAUCCCCGCCGAAGGAUUCCCCUUCACUCCUGAUCGAUCAGUGCUAGCAUGAGAAACCUCUGCUGCAUCGGAGAAACAAGAUGCCCAUUUCCUGUUUCUGACACAAAUGUCACUUUUUCAUAAAAGUGAUACAUUUGUAUUUCAAUAAAGAUACUUUCACAUUUUCAAUCUUUUCCUAUCUUUAUGAUUUUCUCAUAGAAACUGAAGGAAGACUGCUUAAAGGGGCUGUAUCCUGCUUUUUUAGCUAGUCCAAACCCCAGAAAUGGCAUUAACAUGGUAAUAGUUUAUUUUUGGCUCGAAGGAAAAGUCAUUUUGUGUGAAAUAAAAGAUUUUCUGGGGCUAAUUCUGAAACCCGGAAGAGAAAACAUUCUGUUUCACUGAAAUCCCGCCUCUCCCCCUGUGGACUUUGACUGACAGCUACUUCAACCAAUCAGCGCUUCAAAACAAAUAUGCUAGCUAGCUUUAGCUCUUUAGCUCGAGCUUCUCCACCCGCAAAAACGUCUUUUCCUGUUAGAAACUCACCAAGCGCAGACCCUCCAGACCCUCCAGACCCUCCAGACCCUCCAGACCCUUCGGACCCUCCAG
Molecule: long non-coding RNA, 1181 nt
Filed under: Salarias fasciatus (jewelled blenny)
Lineage: Eukaryota; Metazoa; Chordata; Actinopteri; Blenniiformes; Blenniidae
Description: lncRNA (ENSSFAG00005000913.1)
Source: RNAcentral